RNAcentral lists this ribosomal RNA (1031 nucleotides) under Salmonella enterica subsp. enterica serovar Muenchen. RNAcentral describes it as "partial 23S ribosomal RNA". It matches the Rfam family "Bacterial large subunit ribosomal RNA", at positions 1154 to 2141 of the family's 2925-position model. Lineage: Bacteria; Pseudomonadati; Pseudomonadota; Gammaproteobacteria; Enterobacterales; Enterobacteriaceae. The record is from RNAcentral.
CGUAUCACCCAAGACAACUUUGCGGAGUUGACGAUUGACGGAGCGAAGCGACGUCAAAGCGUUCAUUAAAGUCGAGUUGGCUUAGGGAUACGUUCGUUGGGUAGGGGAGCGUUCUGUAAGCCUGUGAAGGUGGCCUGUGAGGGUUGCUGGAGGUAUCAGAAGUGCGAAUGCUGACAUAAGUAACGAUAAAGCGGGUGAAAAGCCCGCUCGCCGGAAGACCAAGGGUUCCUGUCCAACGUUAAUCGGGGCAGGGUGAGUCGACCCCUAAGGCGAGGCCGAAAGGCGUAGUCGAUGGGAAACGGGUUAAUAUUCCCGUACUUGGUGUUACUGCGAAGGGGGGACGGAGAAGGCUAUGUUGGCCGGGCGACGGUUGUCCCGGUUUAAGCGUGUAGGUGUGUGUUCCAGGUAAAUCCGGUUCACUUUAACACUGAGGCGUGACGACGAGGCACUACGGUGCUGAAGCAACAAAUGCCCUGCUUCCAGGAAAAGCCUCUAAGCAUCAGGUAACAUCAAAUCGUACCCCAAACCGACACAGGUGGUCAGGUAGAGAAUACCAAGGCGCUUGAGAGAACUCGGGUGAAGGAACUAGGCAAAAUGGUGCCGUAACUUCGGGAGAAGGCACGCUGACACGUAGGUGAAGUGAUUUACUCACGGAGCUGAAGUCAGUCGAAGAUACCAGCUGGCUGCAACUGUUUAUUAAAAACACAGCACUGUGCAAACACGAAAGUGGACGUAUACGGUGUGACGCCUGCCCGGUGCCGGAAGGUUAAUUGAUGGGGUCAGCGCAAGCGAAGCUCCUGAUCGAAGCCCCGGUAAACGGCGGCCGUAACUAUAACGGUCCUAAGGUAGCGAAAUUCCUUGUCGGGUAAGUUCCGACCUGCACGAAUGGCGUAAUGAUGGCCAGGCUGUCUCCACCCGAGACUCAGUGAAAUUGAACUCGCUGUGAAGAUGCAGUGUACCCGCGGCAAGACGGAAAGACCCCGUGAACCUUUACUAUAGCUUGACACUGAACAUUGAGCCUUGAUGUGUAG